This 468-nucleotide ribosomal RNA is filed under the name uncultured bacterium. RNAcentral's name for it is "partial 16S ribosomal RNA". It matches the Rfam family "Bacterial small subunit ribosomal RNA", at positions 28 to 507 of the family's 1533-position model. The record is from RNAcentral.
GACGAACGCUGGCGGCGUGCUUAACACAUGCAAGUCGAACGGAAAGGCCCUGCUUUUGUGGGGUGCUCGAGUGGCGAACGGGUGAGUAACACGUGAGUAACCUGCCCUUGACUUUGGGAUAACUUCAGGAAACUGGGGCUAAUACCGGAUAGGAGCUCCUGCUGCAUGGUGGGGGUUGGAAAGUUUCGGCGGUUGGGGAUGGACUCGCGGCUUAUCAGCUUGUUGGUGGGGUAGUGGCUUACCAAGGCUUUGACGGGUAGCCGGCCUGAGAGGGUGACCGGCCACAUUGGGAAUGAGAUACGGCCCAGACUCAUACGGGAGGCAGCAGUGGGGAAUAGUGCACAAUGGGCGGAAGCCUGAUGCAGCAACGCCGCGUGCGGGAUGACGGCCUUCGGGUUGUAAACCGCUUUCGCCUGUGACGAAGCGUGAGUGACGGUAAUGGGUAAAGAAGCACCGGCUAACUACGUG